RNAcentral lists this non-coding RNA (22 nucleotides) under Arabidopsis thaliana (thale cress). Lineage: Eukaryota; Viridiplantae; Streptophyta; Magnoliopsida; Brassicales; Brassicaceae. The record is from RNAcentral.
CCUGUCGGGACCCGAAAGAUGG